AAGAGUUAGGGUCUUCUCGGCCCGACCUCCCAACCCUUUGUUUACUUAACCAGUGUUGCUUCGGCGGGCCCGUCUUCGGGCCGCCGGGGGACGGUCAUACGUCCUCUGGCCCGCGCCCGCCGAUAGCCCCAACCACAAAACUCUUGAAUAAAUCGUGUCAUUGUCUGAGUAAAAAUUUAAUUAAAAGCA
RNAcentral lists this unclassified non-coding RNA (189 nucleotides) under uncultured fungus. RNAcentral's name for it is "sequence contains ITS1, 5.8S rRNA gene". The record is from RNAcentral. Lineage: Eukaryota; Fungi.